UAGUGCUAUAUAGAAGCCACUGUAGCAGUGCACACAUUGCACUCACUACGUGGCUUCUGUUUUUUUUUUUUUUUUUAAACCAAACGUGCGUUUUAAUUCUCGGUUGAUUUCUCUUCCCCAUUCGAAUUUCAGAGCCCCAUUCGAAUUUCAGAGCCCCGCGAAAUACCUCCUCCCUCGCUCGCAUCGCAUCACCUUCCUCUACCCAGCACCACCCGGCGACGCCGUCUUUCUGUCCAACUACACCGAGCGACGCUCCUCCGUCUGCCCAGCGCUACCACUCCUCGAGAUCAGAUCAUUGAACGGAGCAAAUCAUAUUUAAUCUUGCGAAGACCCCCCUCCUCCCUCACCAAGCAACCUGUGUCGCGGCAUUUGACCUCUGCCCAGCACCACCCUGCAAAGCUCAUCCAUUUGCCCAGGUUCGCCCCUCCCCCGAGCUCAUUUAAUGGAAACUAGCGACACUACUAUGGUGGAGCUCUCUUUCGCCGCCGUCCCUUGGAGGGCAUCGUAGGAUAGAUGCAUGGUGUAGAUGGUGGAGUUGCAUCUAGAGGAUUGUCAGAGGACCCACUGAAGAUGUUUCCAGGAAUUUUGACUUUUAGUGAUGAAUGGACCACCUUCUAGGCUGAUCCAGCUGAAGUAGAAAUGGUCACUUUUAAUUACAUGAACAUUAUUUACAGCCGUGAAGCUAGGAAUCUUUGUUGAAAAGAAAAUGGGGACAUCAAAAGUGAAGAAGCACGAGGCCAAUUCAAAAGUGAAAAUGGGUAGCUGUUGUGCUUCCAGAGUUAAAGUAUAAUAGGAACUAAUGUUUCACUCUUUUGACCAAUGUUUAUGUUAGCUUCAGCAGAUACAUCUGGCUCAUUCUAAUUUGUAAAGAUUCACUUAUGCUAGUCAACGAAUUAGCUGUAAUUAUUAGUAAUCUUGGUUGGUUUAGCACAUGAACGUGCUCUGUUUUAGACUCCGGAAAACUAAGUCUUUGAACUUGGAUAGGUUAUGAAUAUAAUGGCAAUUUGCA
Carya illinoinensis is the source of this 1009-nucleotide long non-coding RNA. RefSeq lists it as uncharacterized. The transcript is spliced from 2 exons. Lineage: Eukaryota; Viridiplantae; Streptophyta; Magnoliopsida; Fagales; Juglandaceae. The record is from RefSeq and is a predicted model, not a curated record.